AUUUUUUUUUUAUUUUUUUUGGUCCCCAGCCUGCCAGUGCAACGGGCACAGCAAAUGUGUCAACGAGAGCAUCUGUGAGCAGUGCGAGAACCUGACCACCGGCAAACACUGCGAGACGUGCAUCUCCGGUUACUAUGGAGACCCCACGAACGGAGGGACCUGCCAGCCCUGCAAGUGUAACGGCCACGCAUCCAUCUGCAACACCAACACCGGGAAGUGUUUCUGCACAACCAAAGGGAUCAAAGGAGAAGAAUGCCAGCUGUGUGAAGUCGAGAAUCGAUACCAGGGUAACCCUCUCAAAGGAACCUGCUACUAUACCCUUCUCAUCGACUAUCAGUUCACCUUCAGCCUCUCCCAAGAAGAUGAUCGCUAUUACACCGCAAUCAAUUUCGUGGCAACACCGGAAGAGCAAAACAGAGACCUGGACAUGUUUAUCAAUGCUUCGAAAAACUUCAACCUCAACAUCACUUGGUCGACAAGCUUUGCAGCUGGGACACAGGCCGGAGAGGAGAUUCCAGUGGUUUCAAAGAACCAGGUCAAGGAAUAUAAGGACAGCUUCUCCAAUGAGAAAUUUGAUUUCCGCAACAAUCCCAACAUCACUUUCUUUGUCUACGUCAGCAACUUCACCUGGCCCAUAA
RNAcentral lists this long non-coding RNA (638 nucleotides) under Notechis scutatus (mainland tiger snake). Its description in RNAcentral is "lncRNA (ENSNSUG00000007792.1)". The record is from RNAcentral. Lineage: Eukaryota; Metazoa; Chordata; Lepidosauria; Squamata; Elapidae.